This 10295-nucleotide long non-coding RNA is filed under the name Salmo salar (Atlantic salmon). RNAcentral describes it as "lncRNA (ENSSSAG00000101581.1)". Lineage: Eukaryota; Metazoa; Chordata; Actinopteri; Salmoniformes; Salmonidae. The record is from RNAcentral.
AAAUAAAUAAGCAUAAAUAUGGGUUGUAUUUACGAUGGUGUUUGUUCUUCCUGGUUGACCUUUUCUUGUGGCAACAGGUCACACAUCUUGCUGCGGUGAUGGUACACUGGGAUUUCACCCAAUAGAUAGGGGAGUUUAUCAAAAUCGGGUUUGUUUUCGAAUUCUUUGAGGGUCUGUGUAAUCUGAUGGAAAUAUGUGUCUCUAAUAUGGUCAUACAUUUGGCAGGAGGUUAGAAAGUGCAGCUCAGUUUCCACCUCAUUUUGUGGGAAGUGUGCACAUAGCCGGUCUUCUCCAUCAGUGUUUUAUUCUAGGCUUCUACACUGCGAGAGAGCAGACACACCUCUCGAAAAUCGAAGGAGACUUGAUACGGCACUUCUGAUAUCUCGCCUGGAACUUCCUCUUUUAUAGCAGGUAGACUACUACUGUAGUAUUAACGCGCCUGUAUAUGUUGAACAGCUACUUAUUUGCCCCAGUAUCUGUGCUUUAGAGAUGUCGACGAUACACGUCAUACUCAUCGUCGACAUCUCUAACGCACAAAUACUGGCGCACUAGCAUACUUAUUAUUUGCUUAUGCUACCGUCUAUUUGUUCUUGCCGUUGGUCGGUGUCAGUAAAUGAAGGCCAAAGGGAAUUGUUGAAUCGUUCGUAUUAAAUAGCUUCUGCAUUUCGCUGAGCCAGCGUUUAUUUGGGAUAAGCAGAGAGGGGACACCUGUGGCUUUGUGGUAAGUUGGCAGCAGUUUUACAAUACUCCGCUUUUCCUGGCCACAGUAAUAACCUACAGCGUGGUGAUAUAAAUUGUAUUAUAGCGCAGUAAUUGUAUGGAUAUUAACAUGUAGCCUUUCAGCUUACCCUGAACAUUUUGUAUAAUAUAAUAGUAAACACAGGAUAUCUCAUAGUGUCGGUUUAUAGAUAGAGAAGUAGGUUGCAGAUCUGCAGACAGCAUUUCGCAGAGGCAGACAUCGCGAUGAAGGACAUUUCGAGGGUUAUGGUGUACGGGUUUCCGACCGACCAUCAUCAAAAGCGACUGAACGAAGGAGGCCACGCGAGUCAAUGCAAUGGAGCUCCAGAGGUAACGUUAACCGGUCAUGACUGUUGACUAGGCUAGCGUUAGACACUGGACAACUUUGUUGCAACUCUAGUUGAAGGUAACUAGCUAAUUGCAUCUGAAGUGUUUUGUGUAACCCCCCCCCCAGCAAAUAAGGUUAGCAAGCAACUCAAUUGUAACUAAAAUUGCAACACAGUUUAUCCGUGUACCCCUGUUAUUAGGUAACGUUAGUUACUGUAGCUAGCUCCCACCUCAGAUAGUCAAGUACUGUAAUACAUUUUGUUGACAGAUUUGUUUUUGUAAUGUUUUGUUAACUCCACCUCAUUUAGCUAGACUGAAGUUGACAUAACUAAUGUUUGCUGAUAAAGACAUGUCCCUGUAUUUGCUGUGUGUGUGUGUGUGUGUGUGUGUUGAUAAAGCAUACAACAGGUAGCUUGUUAAUGCCAACUGAUAUAUGUGGGUUCAGUUGUCUUAACAAAACGUUUGCUUGUUUUCAGGAUGACAUCUUCAUCCCUGAAAAUGUUUUCAUCCUGCAGGAGGCAGGGGGUACAUGCAAAUCCAUGUUAUUUCUAAAGCUAUUGUUUAUUUCAAGUAUAUGCAGUGAUUUGAAUAUAACUAUAGCCUAAUAGAUGCAUUAAUUGUUUUCUACCAACAGGAAAGAACGGUUAGUACAGCAUGCCAAACUGACCCCUGGGUGGCAGAGUGUUCCUGUGCUGCGGUGGAGAAGAGGUCCACCGGGACCAUCACCAAAGAGCUCAGGGCCCAGCUAGAUUGCGCUCACGACCAUCAGUAUACAAUCGAGUCCUGCCCCUAUUUGCCACAGAUGGAGCUGAUGGAGAGUGAGAUCAGUGAAGACCAUAACUCGCUGAGAGCUCAGAAUCACACUCAUCACAGUGCGAGCCAAAAUAUACUAUCGAUCACUUUGGGGGAGCGGGAUGGUGUUCCGAAAAUGGAGAAGGAGCAGGCCAUUCAACAGCCAAUUCAAAGAUACACCCAUCCAUAAAGGGAAUUGGAGUGGAAUUAUUUUUUCAAAUAUGUUUUUUUACCCGUUUCAAUGGACGUGCUUCCUUGUCCUGGUUCUGCUGUUUCGACACUCUCUCAACCUAUUAUUGCUCAGCUAUGAAAAGCCAACUGACAUUUGCUCCUGAGGUGUUGAACUGUUGCACCCUCUAUAACCACUGUGGUUAUUAUUUUGAUGUAAAAAGGGCUUUUGUCAAUAUAUAUUUGAUUGAUUGAUUGUUUGCUGUGCUGGAUGCUGUGUAUUCACUAACUGUCUGAGUGAUGGAACAUUUUUGUAGUAUCUGUAACAUAUUUUGGUGUGUAUUUAAUGCAUCUUAACUUCUUUCCUUCAAAUAAUUUUAGAUGAUUUAUUGACUGGCUAUGGCUUUCCAGAUCACCCAACACUGCUAUUUGUAAGGUUAAUUUUAAGUGCAUGUUGUGAUUUUUUUUUUUACCAUUCCUGAACCUGUGACCAGAAACAAGCUACGUAGGGGCAAUACCAGAAUAAGUGAUCUACUGAUUCAGUCUCUUAGCUGCUCCCAUUACCUCACUGCUGAAGGGGGGUCCUGUAGUCUGCAGUGGUCGGUUGAGGCAGACAGGACUUUUGGGCAACUAAGAGUUUACCUCGGCUCCCGUGCUGGCCCAUCCGGAUCCCUCUUUGGCAUUCAUAGUGGAGGUGGACGCGUCCGAGGCUGGGAUUGGAGCUGUGCUCUCUCAGCGCUCGGGCACGCCACCAAAGCUCCGCCUCUGUGCUUUCUUCUCGAAGAAGCUCAGCCCGGCGGAGCGGAACUAUGAUGUGGGGGACCGGGGGCUGUUGGCUGUGGUUAAGGCUUUGAAGGCGUGGAGACAUUGGCUUGAGGGGGCUAAACACCCUUUCCUCAUCUGGACUGACCACCGCAACCUGGAGUACAUCCGUGCAGCUAGGAGACUGAAUCCUCGUCAGGCAAGGUGGGCCAUGUUCUUUACCCGUUUUGUGUUUACCCUGUCCUACAUACCAGGUUCCCAGAAUGUGAAGGCAGACGCACUGUCCCGGCUGUAUGACACAGAGGAGUGGCCCAUGGAUCAGACUCCCAUUCUCCCGGCCUCCUGCCUGGUAGCGCCGGUCGUGUGGGAGCUGGACGCGGACAUUGAGCAGGCGUUGCGUACAGAGACCGCUCCACCCCAGUGUCCCGUUGGGCGUCAAUACAUUCCGUCUGCUGUCCGUGACCAGUUGAUCUAUUGGGCCCACACAUCACCCUCCUCUGGUCAUCCGGGGAUCGGUCGGACGGUGCGCUGUCUGACUGGGAAGUACUGGUGGCCCACCUUGGCUCGGGACGUGAGGGUUUAUGUUUCCUCCUGCUCGGUGUGCGCCCAGUGUAAGGCUCCUAGACACCUGCCCAGAGGGAAGCUACAUCCCUUACCCGUUCCACAACGGCCUUGGUCACACCUGUCGGUGGAUUUUCUAACGGAUCUUCCUCCCUCACAGGGAAACACCACGAUCCUGGCCAUUGUGAAUUGUUUCUCUAAGUCCUGUUGUCUCCUCCCUCUGCCCGGUCUCCCUACGGCCCUACAAACUGCGGAGGUCCUGUUUACACACGUCCUCCGGCACUACGGGGUGCCUAAGGAUAUAGUGUCUGAUCGAGGUCCCCAGUUCACUUCGAGUCUGGAGGGCGUUCAUGGAACGUUUGGGGGUCUCGACCUGCCGGAAGCUGGGCCCACGGUUUGUCGGGCCAUUCAAAGUCCUGAGGAGAGUGAACAAGGUAUGUUACAGGUUACAGCUUCCCCCCGAUUACCAUAUUAACCCCUCGUUCCAUGUCUCUUCUCAGGCCGGUGGUGGCUGGUCCGCUCCAGGAGUCUAAGGUACGGGAGGUUCCUCCGCCCACUCUGGACAUCGAGGGGGCCCCGGCGUACUCCGUCCGUUCCAUCCUGGAUUCGAGGCGUCGGGCCUUCAGUACCUCAUGGAGUGGGAGGGGUACAGUCCGGAGGAGAGGUGCUGGGUUCCAGUGGCUGAUGUAUUGGACCCUGAACUGCUGCGUGAGUUCCACCGUCGCCGGCCGGAUCGCCCUGCACCUCGCCCUCCGGGUCGUCCCCGAGGCCGGUGUCGACGCACCGCUGGAGCCGCGCGUCGGGGGGGGAGUACUGUCACGACUUCCGCCGAAGUCGUCGACUCCUUGUUUGGGCGGCGGUCGACGUCACCGACUUUCUAGCUAUCGCCGCUCCAUUUUUCAUGUAUCCAUUUGUUUUUUCUUGUUCCCUGCACACCUGGUUUUCAUUCCCCAAUCAAUCUACAUGUAUUUAUUCCUCUGUUCCCCAUCAUGUCUUUGUGAAAGAUUGUUUGUGUUACAUGUUUAUUGUUGACGUGCUAGACUGGUUUGUUUUUUUCUGUGGUAUUUUUCACGAAGAUGUUUAUUGUUAAACAUAAUUCUUGUGACUGUUUUGCGCAUUUUGCCCUUUUGCCUCAGUGUGCGCCUGUUCACAAAUCUCUGCUCUCCUGCACCUGACCUCGUUACCAGUACACACACACCUGACAACCAUCCGCCCAUUUUAUUGGUAAACUACAAGGUACUGUAUACAGUGUAUUUUUUUACGAUCCAAUACGUAAUAUGGUACACUUGUCAUAAUUAGGGUUUAAUCCAGAUUGGCUAGAAAAGUGAUCAAGAUCUUCAAUGAGAUUGUGCAGGGAUCCAGAUUGCGGACUUAAGAAAAAAAUAGUCAUCAGCAUACAUUGACACUUUUGUUUAUAUCCCCUGGAUUUCUAACCCCUUGAUGUUCUUGUUGGAUCUAAUGUUAAUAGCUAGCAUUUCAAUGGCAAUAAUAAAUAAAUAUGGAGACAACAGACAGCCUUGCUUUACUCCUCUUAAAAGCUCAUUACUUUCUGAGAAGUAACCAUUGGUUACUAUUUUACAUCUGGGGUUGCUAUACAUAACUUUAACCCAUUGUAUAAGAGAUUCACCAAAAUUAAAGUAUUCCAGGCAUUUAUAUACAAAUUCUAAUUGUACUUUAUCAAACGUCUUUUCAAAAUCUGCUAUGAAGACCAAACCUGGUAUCUUCAAUGUUUCAUAAUGUUCAAUUGUUUCAAGUAAUUGUCAUAUUAUCUCCAAUAUAUCGUCCAUGUAAAAAAACUUUAUUCUAUAUGCUAUGCAUUUCACAUCAUAAAAUUGAAGUGUUAGAGGCUUCCAGUUUUUUAAACGGACUGGAUCUUUAUACUUACAAUCUGGGUCCUGUUUUAGUAGUAAUGAAAUCAGACCUUGUUGAGUACCUGAAAGUCUACCAUUAACUUCUUAAAGUGUCAAUCAGCAGUAGAAACAAUAACAAAGUGUCACCAAUGCUCCUCUUUUGGUAAAAAGCUGAGGGAUGGGGCUGGAAAAAUAUAACCACUCAAAUUCAUAGACAGCGCUAUAGAUGCAAGGAAUGGCCAUCCAUGAUAUCAGCAUUGUAAUCCUGUUUCUAUUAUCUUUUUCCACUACCAUGUACCCAGUUCGCUUUGGAUGAAAGUGUCUGCUAAAUGGCAAAUAUUAUUAAAGUCUACUUUGACUCUGCAACUAGCUGCCCAGUGUAGUUACCAUUCCUUUCCAAUAGAUGGCAGCCAAAGCUAGUUGAAGUCAUUACUCUAGUGACAGAGACACGGGAUUAGAAGGCACUGAAAGUAGUUUUAUCUUCAAAUGAAGUUUAUUUGGUUACGCUUGAACCUGUUGUUAUAGUGGACAAGUUAACCAAUACUAUUUUACAUAAGGCGCAGACAUUAGAUCUGGGUCUUAGGCUAGGCUAGAUUUACUCAAUGAACUGGUUUUAUUUAACAUUUUAUUCAAUGCCUUUGCUUCUGGCUAUGUGUGCAUUAUGGAAGAAAUGACACACGCAGGAAUGAGACGCCUUACACCUUGUCCAAUUCUCUCUUGUGCCCAUAGGGUGAACUGGCGAUAAACUGCCAGCCUGUAUGCUCUGCAAACAAAAUCAUAAGAAAAGUUAGUCUGAUACCGAAACAAUAUCACAAUGUAUUGUGGUGUACAGCAGGUGAGCCACCAGGGGGAGACUCGUCGAGGCCUGGUGGCAGACGGUGAUUACAUCACGAGGCGAUGGCGCCCUCUGCAGGACGUGCCAGGUCUUGACGGGCUCUCUGGCCAGGACUAAUUGGGGCUGAUUGUGGUUGGUGGGUAAUCAAGGGCUGAUUUGCUCACCAGCUAGCUGUACGAGUCCCAUAAAGUUGCCAGAAGGGCAGCACACAAGGAGAGGUACUGGGGAAGAAGGGUGACUUCCGUAUAGUUGGAGACGUUGCCCGAGCUAAAAGGAGGGAGUUCAGUUUUUGUGCCCGACAGGAUACAGCAAGACCCGGAGCCCAGAAGACGGUAUCCCGGAGAGGGUCUCAUGGGGGAGACCUAUCAUUUUCUUUAGAUGUAUUAUUUAAAUAAACACCCUUGAAACUGAGAUAAUCCUACUGAUCUGUGUCUGAUCUGUGUAAACGUCUUGACCAAACCCUCUGGUCUGCCACAGUAUUUAUAAUGAGCACGCCCCAUUGCUGGUUAGAACGAGAUUUCAUGAAUCAUGACGCUGUCUGCGAUUGGAACUCUGGUCGUCUAAUCUAAAGGUAAAUGUGUUACCAAUGCACCAAACAGCGCUGAUGAUAAACGUCGUUAUAGGAUACUGAUUAUAUAUAUUGACCACCGACACGUCCAAUAAAUACAUUGCCAUCCAGACAGGCUGACAGGAACCUCUGACAGUAUGUAAUACAGCCACCAUCCGCUGGGAUUUUGUGCUGUAUCGCCACCACCUCUCUAUAACACACACACACUUCUACUCUAGCAAUUACCUGGCAUCAUCCCCACAAACACCACUUUGUGUUUGGCUACGCCGACUCUCUGGCUGAGGUGUUUCAGGCGGCAUAUCUGUGUUGUUACUGCUACGAGAACGAACUCUUGAUCUGGUGCAACGAUCGGCUCAAACAUGACCAGCUUCAGUAGAUUUAUUGGCUCCCUAAUUAACAUUUUUCAUUCUCAGACUUGAAGCUACUCGGUAAAUUAAGCUAUUUUUGGGAGUUCCAAAAUGUUCUCUCCUGCUAGUGACGCAACAAUGCCAAUAUGGCGAUUUACAGUUACAGUUAGCUGACGUUCAAAAUCAUAGGGUUUCCAUUCCCCUUUAAGCCUGUGUGCGCUGUACUGUGUUCGUGCCAGGGCCCGGACUUGAACCCGAUCGAAAAUCUCUUGAGAGACCUGAAAAUUGUGUAGCGAUGCUCCCCAUCCAACCUGACAGAGCUUGAGAGGAUUUGCAGAGAAAAAUGGCGGAAACUCCCCAAAUACAGGUGUACCAAGCUCAUACCCAAGACUCAAGCGUCAUACCCAAGAAGACUCAAAUGGCUCUGGCUUGCUGAUGUCAUCUGAUCUGAUGAGACUCCCUAUGUGAUUUGACUCCUGUAUUACUGACUGUAUUCAACGACAAAAAAACAUCCAAUGCCGAAUAUAGAUCAUUUGGGAUUCUGUAAUUGAUAGACGAUGGUGUCAAAUCCAAUUCAAAAGCAUGAGAUGGCACGCACGAGCAAGAUGCGCGACCAAACACUGAGUUAAGAGAGAAGAAAUGUGGUCCAGCGAGAAGAGGAUGGGUCCCCUGCACAGGUCAGGGAGAAUUCAGAGGACAGUGCUAAGUAUGGGAGGUGAGCAAGCGCCUGAAUGCUCAGCUGAAAGAGUCUGAGAAGAGACACCAGGAGGAGAAGGACUGAAUGCAGACUGAAAGCGGUGAGUUCAGCCGGCGUCUUGACAAGCAGUCGAAGCACCUGCAGCGAGUGGAGGGGUAGGCGGAGGAGCAAGGUCAGAGGCUGGAGGAGUUUAAGCGGCUGCUGGGGGGCAUGGAGCUGGAGGGUGUUGUCCUGAAAAAUGGCCGCCAGCGAGGCUGAACUGCUGCAGCUGAGAGCAGCCGGCGGUGGGGGGGGGGGACAGGAGAAAAAGCAGAGGUGAGGAGGCUCUGUCGCCAUAACGACUACAAAUCAGUCAUACAACUGAAACGUAGACUGUCUGCACAUAGUAUCUCAUAUACAACUCUACAUGAGUAUACAACAAUACAGUCCUCAGCAACAGACAUUGUAACAUUGCUAAUCUAGCCUACAACGUUCAUGAAUUGCCAUACUCACAAGUCCAAAAUUUGAAAAGAGUAUACAGCAUAUUUUUUAAGAUACUAAAAAGGAUACUGUAUGUACAGUGUAUUCGGAAAGUAUUCCGACUCCUUGACUUUUUCCACAUUUUGUUACGUUACAGCCUUAUUCUAAAAUGUAUUAAAUUGUUUUAUUUCCUCAUCAAUCUACACACAAUACCUCAUAAUGACAAAGUAAAAACAGGUUUUUAUGUUUGCAAAUUCAUAAAAAAAUUUAAAAUAAAAUAUCACAUAAGUAUUCAGACCCUUCACUCAGUACUUUGUUUUAGAACUUUUGGCAGCGAUUACAGCCUCGAGUCUUCAAGCUCUGUCAAGUUGGAUGGGAGGCAUCUCUGCACAGCUAUUUUCAGGUCUCUCCAGAGAUGUUCGAUCGGGUUCAAGUCGGGGCUCUAGCUGGGCCACUCAAAGACAUUCAGAAACUUGUCCCGAACCCACUCCUGCGUUGUCUUGGAUUAUGUGCUUAGGGUUGUUGUCCUGUUGGAAGGUGAACCUUCACCCCAGUCUGAGGUCCUGAGCACUCUGGAGCAGGUUUUCAUCAAGGAUCUCUCUGUACUUUGUUCCGUUCAUCUUUCCCUCGAUCCUGACAGCAUGAUGCUGCCACCACCAUGCUUCACUGUAGGAAUGGAAUUGGCUAGGUGAUGAGCGGUGCCUGCUUUCCUCCAGACGUGAUGCUUUCUCAUGGUCUGAAAGUCCUUUAGGUGCUUUCUGGCAAGCUUCAAGUGGGCUGUCAUGUGCCUUUUACUGAGGAGUGGCUUCCAUCUGGCCACUCUACCAUAAAGGCCUGAUUGGUGGAGUGCUGCAGAGAUGGUUGUCCUUCUGGAAGUUUUUCCCAUGUACACAGAUAAACUCUGGAGCUCUGUCAGCGUGACCAUCGGGUUCUUGGUCACCUCCCUGACCAAAGCCCUUCUCCGACCUCAUGGCUUGGUUUUUGCUAUGUCAUGCACUGUCAACUGUGGUACCUUACAUAGACAGGUGUGUGCCUUUUCAAAUCAUAUCCAAUCAAUUGAAUUUACCACAGGUCGAAUCCGAUCAAAUUGUAGAAACAUCUCAAGGAUGAUCAAUGAAAACUUGAUGCACCUGAGCUCAAUUUUGAGUCUCAUAGCAAAGGGUCUGAAUAGUUAUGUAAAUGUAUUUCUGUUUAAAAAUAUAUAUAUACACUGCUCAAAAAAAUAAAGGCAACACUUAAACAACACAAUGUAACUCCAAGUCAAUCACACUUCUGUGAAAUCAAACUGUCCACUUAGGAAGCAACACUGAUUGACAAUACAUUUCACAUGCUGUUGUGCAAAUGGAAGAGACAACAGGUGGAAAUUAUAGGCAAUUAGCAAGACACCCCCAAUAAAGGAGUGGUUCUGCAGGUGGGGACCACAGACCACUUCUCAGUUCCUAUGCUUCCUAGCUGAUGUUUUGGUCACUUUUGAAUGCUGGCGGUGCUUUCACUCUAGUGGCAGCUUGAGACGGAGUCUACAACCCACACAAGUGGCUCAGGUAGUGCAGCUCAUCCAGGAUGGCACAUCAAUGCGAGCUGUGGCAAGAAGGUUUGCUGUGUCUGUCAGCGUAGUGUCCAGAGCAUGGAGGCGCUACCAGGAGACAGGCCAGUACAUCAGGAGACAUGGAGGAGGCCGUAGGAGGGCAACAACCCAGCAGCAGGACCGCUACCUCCGCCUUUGUGCAAGGACGAGCAGGAGGAGCACUGCCAGAGCCCUGCAAAAUUACCUCCAGCAGGCCACAAAUGUGCAUGUGUCUGCUCAAACGGUCAGAAACAGACUCCAUGAGGGUGGUAUGAGGGCCCGACGUCCACAGGUGGGGGUUGUGCUUACAGCCCAACACCAUGCAGGACGUUUGGCAUUUGCCAGAGAACACCAAGAUUGGCAAAUUCGCGACUGGCGCCCUGUGCUCUUCACAGAUAAAAGCAGGUUCACACUGAGCAUGUGACAGACAUGACAACGUCUGGAGACGCCGUGGAGAACGUUCUGCUGCCUGCAACAUCCUCCAGCAUGACCGGUUUGGCGGUGGGUCAGUCAUGGUGUGGGGUGGCAUUUCUUUGGGGGGGCCGCACAGCCUUCCAUGUGCUCGCCAGAGGUAGCCUGACUGCCAUUAGGUAGCGAGAUGAGAUCCUCAGACCCCUUGUGAGACCA